This 718-nucleotide long non-coding RNA is filed under the name Anas platyrhynchos platyrhynchos (common mallard). RNAcentral's name for it is "lncRNA (ENSAPLG00000021390.1)". The record is from RNAcentral. Lineage: Eukaryota; Metazoa; Chordata; Aves; Anseriformes; Anatidae.
CUUUUACAAACUGAAUAUAGCUUGUACUCUAUAAGCAUUGUCCAUAACUAUUUGCAUUGAAAAGAUUUCUACAGGAAUGACAUACAUGCUCCUGUCAGUGAAGAGCAGAGAGACCCAUGAAGAGUUCUGUCUGGGAAAAGUUCAGGUUCAGCAUACAAAUUACACUAAAUGAAGAUCCGAGUUACGCAAAUCUAAGUCAUACACCAACAUCCAAUACCCAGCACCAUACACACUACCUCAAGCCAUGCCCAGCUGAUCUAAGGCAAGAAAUAUAUUCCUUUCCACUGUCUUUCCUUCCCUUUGUUUCUGCUGGGGAAGACUCUUGUUAUGCUUUGUUUGCCCUUUCUUACCAGCUGGAAAGGAAGAUGGAUUUAGACACAAGUAAACUAUGAGCUUCAAAGCCUGAUCUUCUGUAGUCUAGCCCUUGAUCUCUACUUGUGCUCCUUCUGAAGUUCAGCUGUAAAAGGAAGAAGCAAUGUCAUUUUUCUGCAGUGCUCACACUCAGAACAUCGAAAAUUAAGGAUGAAAUUUUGCAGUGAGGUACACAAGCAAAGAAUCUCAUCAUCAUCACGAUUAUUGAGAAGAGUAAAGUGAAAUGUAUGUGAAACCCCUUCAGGAAUGAGAGUAGAGGAAUAAUGUUACAGAAGAAAAGAAUGAUUUUGGAAACAUAAUAUUGUAUACUUUCACAUUAUUUUGAAUGCAUUAGGCCUUACAAAAA